This 75-nucleotide transfer RNA is filed under the name Bacteroides thetaiotaomicron. RNAcentral describes it as "tRNA-Asp". The record is from RNAcentral. Lineage: Bacteria; Pseudomonadati; Bacteroidota; Bacteroidia; Bacteroidales; Bacteroidaceae.
UCCCGGUUGGGAAGGUGCUCGUCACCGGCUAUCAACCGGUGUAGUUCCUGCCAGUUCUCACCCUGUGGCCGGGGA